GACCGUGUAGCUCAGUUGGAAGAGCAUUUGGCUAGUAUUCCAAAGGUCGUAGGUUCGAAUCCCACCGUGGCCG
RNAcentral lists this transfer RNA (73 nucleotides) under Paramuricea clavata. It matches the Rfam family "tRNA". Rfam says of the family: Transfer RNA (tRNA) molecules are approximately 80 nucleotides in length. Lineage: Eukaryota; Metazoa; Cnidaria; Anthozoa; Malacalcyonacea; Plexauridae. The record is from Rfam by way of RNAcentral.